GACGAACGCUGGCGGCGUGCCUAAUACAUGCAAGUAGAACGCUGAAGGAGGAGCUUGCUUCUCUGGAUGAGUUGCGAACGGGUGAGUAACGCGUAGGUAACCUGCCUGGUAGCGGGGGAUAACUAUUGGAAACGAUAGCUAAUACCGCAUAAGAGUAGAUGUUGCAUGACAUUUGCUUAAAAGUUGCAAUUGCAUCACUACCAGAUGGACCUGCGUUGUAUUAGCUAGUUGGUGGGGUAACGGCUCACCAAGGCGACGAUACAUAGCCGAUCUGAGAGGGUGAUCGGCCACACUGGGACUGAGACACGGCCCAGACUCCUACGGGAGGCAGCAGUAGGGAAUCUUCGGCAAUGGACGGAAGUCUGACCGAGCAACGCCGCGUGAGUGAAGAAGGUUUUCGGAUCGUAAAGCUCUGUUGUAAGAGAAGAACGAGUGUGAGAGUGGAAAGUUCACACUGUGACGGUAUCUUACCAGAAAGGGACGGCUAACUACGUG
Molecule: ribosomal RNA, 495 nt
Filed under: uncultured bacterium
Lineage: Bacteria
Description: partial 16S ribosomal RNA
Rfam family: Bacterial small subunit ribosomal RNA
Source: RNAcentral